UUUAUGGAGAGUUUGAUCCUGGCUCAGGAUGAACGCUGGCGGCGUGCCUAAUACAUGCAAGUCGAGCGAACAGACGGGGAGCUUGCUCCCCCGACGUUAGCGGCGGACGGGUGAGUAACACGUGGGCAACCUACCUAUAAGACUGGGAUAACACCGGGAAACCGGGGCUAAUGCCGGCAAACAUGUGUGGACCGCAUGGUGCUACUGUGAAAGAUGGACUUGCGGUCGCUAAUUUUUCGACUCUCGCAGCAUGAGCUACAUUGAAAAGUAACGGAUU
RNAcentral lists this ribosomal RNA (277 nucleotides) under Staphylococcus pettenkoferi. RNAcentral's name for it is "partial 16S ribosomal RNA". It matches the Rfam family "Bacterial small subunit ribosomal RNA", at positions 1 to 266 of the family's 1533-position model. Lineage: Bacteria; Bacillati; Bacillota; Bacilli; Caryophanales; Staphylococcaceae. The record is from RNAcentral.